CUAUCUGGAAGCACAAGUGGCUGGCAACUGGGUCAUAACUCAAGACUUUAUUCUGCUUCAUUCAGUGUUCCAGUGGAGUGAGAAGUUGGUACCCAGCCAAUGACGGGAAGAGUGAUGGGUGCUGAUAGUUCUACACAACACUCCAGGUGAACAGCUGUCUUGGCCUGAACCUUGCACCAGUGCUUCAGGAUGUGAGUUCCGUCUGCUUUAUAGCUGCAACCCUGAAGAUGGAGUCACACUUGAAAGAACAGUGAUUCAAUGGAGGAGACAAAUAAACAUGCAGGCAGGAU
Molecule: long non-coding RNA, 290 nt
Organism: Heterocephalus glaber (naked mole-rat)
Lineage: Eukaryota; Metazoa; Chordata; Mammalia; Rodentia; Bathyergidae
Source: RefSeq, a predicted model, not a curated record